This 250-nucleotide ribosomal RNA is filed under the name uncultured prokaryote. RNAcentral describes it as "partial 16S rRNA". It matches the Rfam family "Bacterial small subunit ribosomal RNA", at positions 525 to 775 of the family's 1533-position model. The record is from RNAcentral.
ACGUAGGGAGCAAGCGUUAUCCGGAAUUAUUGGGCGUAAAGGGUGCGUAGGCGGUGAUUUAAGCUGGAUGUGAAAGACAAUAGCUUAACUAUUGUACUCCUUUCGAACUGGAUUACUUGAGUACAGGAGAGGAAAGUGGAAUUCCUAGUGUAGCGGUGAAAUGCGUAGAUAUUAGGAGGAACACCAGUGGCGAAGGCGGCUUGCUGGGCUGCAACUGACGCUGAAGCACGAAAGUGUGGGGAGCAAACAG